GACGUAGGUGGCGAGCGUUAUUCGGAAUUACUAGGCGUAAAGCGAGUGUAGGCGGAUGCUUAAGUCCGUAGUGAAAUCUCCCGGCUCAACCGGGAGGGGUCUGCGGAUACUGGGCGUCUUGAAUUGGGUAGGGGGGAUCAGAAUUCCCGGUGUAGCGGUGAAAUGCGCAGAUAUCGGGAAGAAUACCGGUGGCGAAGGCGGAUCCCUGGACCUGGAUUGACGCUGAGACUCGAAAGCUAGGGGAGCAAACAGG
RNAcentral lists this ribosomal RNA (253 nucleotides) under uncultured bacterium. Its description in RNAcentral is "partial 16S ribosomal RNA". It matches the Rfam family "Bacterial small subunit ribosomal RNA", at positions 524 to 776 of the family's 1533-position model. The record is from RNAcentral.